RNAcentral lists this ribosomal RNA (432 nucleotides) under uncultured bacterium. RNAcentral describes it as "partial 16S ribosomal RNA". It matches the Rfam family "Bacterial small subunit ribosomal RNA", at positions 29 to 506 of the family's 1533-position model. The record is from RNAcentral.
AACGAACGCUGGCGGCAUGCCUAACACAUGCAAGUCGAACGAGACCUUCGGGUCUAGUGGCGCACGGGUGCGUAACGCGUGGGAACCUGCCCUUAGGUUCGGAAUAACUCCCCGAAAGGGGUGCUAAUACCGGAUAAUGUCUUCGGACCAAAGAUUUAUCGCCUUUGGAUGGGCCCGCGUUGGAUUAGCUAGUUGGUAGGGUAAAAGCCUACCAAGGCGACGAUCCAUAGCUGGUCUGAGAGGAUGAUCAGCCACACUGGGACUGAGACACGGCCCAGACUCCUACGGGAGGCAGCAGUGGGGAAUAUUGGACAAUGGGCGAAAGCCUGAUCCAGCAAUGCCGCGUGAGUGAUGAAGGCCUUAGGGUUGUAAAGCUCUUUUACCCGGGAUGAUAAUGACAGGACCGGGAGAAUAAGCUCCGGCUAACUCCGG